RNAcentral lists this ribosomal RNA (497 nucleotides) under uncultured bacterium. RNAcentral describes it as "partial 16S ribosomal RNA". It matches the Rfam family "Bacterial small subunit ribosomal RNA", at positions 28 to 507 of the family's 1533-position model. The record is from RNAcentral.
GAUGAACGCUGGCGGCGUGCCUAAUACAUGCAAGUCGAGCGAACAGACGAGGAGCUUGCUCCUCUGACGUUAGCGGCGGACGGGUGAGGAACACGGGGAUAACCUACCUAUAAGACUGGGAUAACUUCGGGAAACCGGAGCUAAUACCGGAUAAUAUAUUGAACCGCAUGGUUCAAUAGUGAAAGACGGUUUUGCUGUCACUUAUAGAUGGAUACGCGCCGCAUUAGCUAGUUGGUAAGGUAACGGCUUACCAAGGCAACGAUGCGUAGCCGACCUGAGAGGGUGAUCGGCCAAACUGGAACUGAGACACGGUCCAGACUCCUACGGGAGGCAGCAGUAGGGAAUCUUCCGCAAUGGGCGAAAGCCUGACGGAGCAACGCCGCGUGAGUGAUGAAGGUCUUCGGAUCGUAAAACUCUGUUAUUAGGGAAGAACAAAUGUGUAAGUAACUAUGCACGUCUUGACGGUACCUAAUCAGAAAGCCACGGCUAACUCCGUG